This is a non-coding RNA of Gossypium raimondii (Peruvian cotton), 138 nucleotides long. The record is from Rfam. Lineage: Eukaryota; Viridiplantae; Streptophyta; Magnoliopsida; Malvales; Malvaceae.
UGUUAAAAAUUUCAUCCAUUAGUACUGGUAAAAACUGUCGUGGUUGACAGAAUGUCUGACAUGUGACGUGCCACGUGUAUCUCAUGCUGAUGUACAGGGACCAAUUUUGACAACAAAAAAUGGAUGAAACUUUUAACA